This 21-nucleotide non-coding RNA is filed under the name Caenorhabditis elegans. Lineage: Eukaryota; Metazoa; Nematoda; Chromadorea; Rhabditida; Rhabditidae. The record is from RNAcentral.
UUUAGUGUACAUUAGUAAACA